ACGGCUCAGUAACACGUGGGCAACCUACCCUUAGGACAGGUAUAAACCCGGGAAACUGGGUAUAAUCCCCGAUAGUCCUCGGCUGCUGGAAUGCAUCGAGGACGAAAGCUCCGGCGCCUAAGGAUGGGUCUGCGGCCUAUCAGGUAGUAGUGGGUGUAACGUACCUACUAGCCUACGACGGGUACGGGUUGUGAGAGCAAGAGCCCGGAGAUGGAUUCUGAGACACGAAUCCAGGCCCUACGGGGUGCAGCAGGCGCGAAAACUUUACAAUGCCGGCAACGGCGAUAAGGGGACCUCGAGUGCCAGGUUACAAAUCUGGCUGUCGUGAUGCCUAAAAAGCAUUGCAUAGCAAGGGCCGGGCAAGACCGGUGCCAGCCGCCGCGGUAACACCGGCGGCUCGAGUGGUAACCGUUAUUAUUGGGUCUAAAGGGUCUGUAGCCGGCCGGAUAAGUCUCUUGGGAAAUCCAGCAGCUUAACUGUUGGGCUUUCAGGAGAUACUGUCUGGCUCGAGGCCGGGAGAGGUGAGAGGUACUUCAGGGGUAGGGGUGAAAUCUUGUAAUCCUUGAAGGACCACCAGUGGCGAAGGCGUCUCACCAGAACGGACCUGACGGCAAGGGACGAAAGCUAGGGGCACGAACCGGAUUAGAUACCCGGGUAGUCCUAGCCGUAAACGAUACUCGCUAGGUGUCGGCCACGGUGUGACCGUUGUCGGUGCCGUAGGGAAGCCGUGAAGCGAGCCACCUGGGAAGUACGGCCGCAAGGCUGAAACUUAAAGGAAUUGGCGGGGGAGCACA
Molecule: ribosomal RNA, 794 nt
Filed under: uncultured archaeon
Lineage: Archaea
Description: bacterial SSU rRNA
Rfam family: Archaeal small subunit ribosomal RNA
Source: RNAcentral